UACCAGCUCUCCGAGUGGUGUGGAUGUUUAUUGGGCCUAAAGCAUCCGUAGCUGGCUGGACAAGUCCCCUGUUAAAUCCACCGAUUUAAUCGUUGGUGUGCGGGGGAUACUGUUCGGCUAGGGGACGGGAGAGGCAGACGGUAUUUUCGGGGUAGGGGUGAAACCCUAUAAUCCCGGGAAGACCACCAGUGGCGAAGGCUGUCUGCUAGAACGCGCCCGACGGUGAGGGAUGAAAGCUGGGGGAGCGAACCGGAUUAGAUACCCGGGUAGUCCCAGCUGUAAACGAUGCAGGCUAGGUGUUUGGACGGCCACGUGCCGUUCUAGUGCCGCAGGGAAGCCGUUAAGCCUGCCGCCUGGGGAGUACGGCCGCAAGGCUGAAACUUAAAGGAAUUGGCGGGGGAGCACCACAAGGGGUGAAGCUUGCGGUUU
Molecule: ribosomal RNA, 429 nt
Filed under: uncultured archaeon
Lineage: Archaea
Description: bacterial SSU rRNA
Rfam family: Archaeal small subunit ribosomal RNA
Source: RNAcentral